This 337-nucleotide ribosomal RNA is filed under the name uncultured bacterium. Its description in RNAcentral is "partial 16S ribosomal RNA". It matches the Rfam family "Bacterial small subunit ribosomal RNA", at positions 338 to 672 of the family's 1533-position model. The record is from RNAcentral.
CCUACGGGAGGCUGCAGUGAGGAAUAUUGGUCAAUGGACGAGAGUCUGAACCAGCCAAGUAGCGUGAAGGAUGACUGUCCUGUGGAUUGUAAACUUCUUUUAUAUGGGAAUAAAAUGUUCCACGAGUGGGCUUUUGUGUGUACCUUAUGAAUAAGGAUCGGCUAACUCCGUGCCAGCAGCCGCGGUAAUACGGAGGAUCCGAGCGUUAUCCGGAUUUAUUGGGUUUAAAGGGAGCGUAGGUGGAUUGUUAAGUCAGUUGUAAAAGUUUGCGGCUCAACCGUAAAAUUGCAGUUGAAACUGGCAGUGGUGAGUACAGAAGAGGUGGGCGGAAUUGGUG